Molecule: ribosomal RNA, 491 nt
Filed under: uncultured bacterium
Lineage: Bacteria
Description: partial 16S ribosomal RNA
Rfam family: Bacterial small subunit ribosomal RNA
Source: RNAcentral
GAUGAACGCUAGCUACAGGCUUAACACAUGCAAGUCGAGGGGAAACGAUGAGAGAGCUUGCUCUCUUAGUCGUCGACCGGCGCACGGGUGAGUAACGCGUAUCCAACCUGCCUCUGACCAAGGGAUAACCCGUCGAAAGUCUGACUAAUACCUUAUGCAUUCGUCGGAAGUCAUCUGAUGACGACGAAAGAUUUCAUCGGUGAGAGAUGGGGAUGCGUCUGAUUAGCUUGUUGGCGGGGUAACGGCCCACCAAGGCGACGAUCAGUAGGGGUUCUGAGAGGAAGGUCCACCACAAGGGAACGGAGAAACGGUCCAAACACCUACGGGAGGCAGCAGUGAGGAAUAGUGAACAAUGGGAGUAAGCCUGAACCAGCCAAGUAGCGUGCAGGAAGACGGCGAUAGGGGUUGUAAACUGCUUUUAUGAGGGGAAAAAGUGAGGGACGGGACAUUCAUUGAAGGUACCGGAUGAAUAAGGACCGGCUAAUUACGUG